This 85-nucleotide transfer RNA is filed under the name Hominimerdicola alba SY3. RNAcentral's name for it is "Ruminococcus albus SY3 tRNA-Ser". It matches the Rfam family "tRNA". From Rfam's summary of the family: Transfer RNA (tRNA) molecules are approximately 80 nucleotides in length. Their secondary structure includes four short double-helical elements and three loops (D, anti-codon, and T loops). Further hydrogen bonds mediate the characteristic L-shaped molecular structure. tRNAs have two regions of fundamental functional importance: the anti-codon, which is responsible for specific mRNA codon recognition, and the 3' end, to which the tRNAs corresponding amino acid is attached (by aminoacyl-tRNA synthetases). tRNAs cope with the degeneracy of the genetic code in two manners: having more than one tRNA (with a specific anti-codon) for a particular amino acid; and 'wobble' base-pairing, i.e. permitting non-standard base-pairing at the 3rd anti-codon position. Lineage: Bacteria; Bacillati; Bacillota; Clostridia; Eubacteriales; Oscillospiraceae. The record is from RNAcentral.
GCUGUGUUAGUGUAAUUGGUAACACACUGCUCUCGAAAAGCAGCGUCCUUUGGACUUACAGGUUCGAGUCCUGUACACAGCGCCA